RNAcentral lists this ribosomal RNA (253 nucleotides) under uncultured bacterium. RNAcentral describes it as "partial 16S ribosomal RNA". It matches the Rfam family "Bacterial small subunit ribosomal RNA", at positions 524 to 776 of the family's 1533-position model. The record is from RNAcentral.
UACGUAGGGGGCUAGCGUUGUCCGGAUUUACUGGGCGUAAAGAGCGCGCAGGCGGUCGUUUAAGUCGAAUGUGAAAGCCCCCGGCUCAACUGGGGAGGGUCAUUCGAUACUGAUCGACUUGAAGGCAGGAGAGGGAAGUGGAAUUCCGGGUGUAGUGGUGAAAUGCGUAGAUAUCCGGAGGAACACCAGUGGCGAAGGCGGCGUUCUGGACUGCAACUGACACUGAAAAACGAAAGCCAGGGGAGCAAACGGG